This 3206-nucleotide long non-coding RNA is filed under the name Sus scrofa (pig). RNAcentral's name for it is "lncRNA (ENSSSCG00015052295.1)". Lineage: Eukaryota; Metazoa; Chordata; Mammalia; Artiodactyla; Suidae. The record is from RNAcentral.
UUUUUUAUUUCUUUUUUUUCUUAGGCAAAAGGAGCCAGAAGAGCAGGGGUAGAAUUCUAAUCUUGGCAGGGAAAGAGGAAGGCCUCAGUUUGGCUUCAGCACAGGCUGGAGUGAUUUCAGGUCCAUUUAAGAGGAUGAGCACCUGCACCAGGCUCUGACCACCCCCCCAAAACUGUCCCCCUCCCACUUGCCCAGCUCCCCUGACCCAGAACUAUCCCUUAUGGCUCUGGUUAGCAUGGUUUUCAAGUUGUGUGAAAUAGGAAAGAUCUGCUCUAAUCCUACUUUUCCCAAAAGCCCUGUUUUUUUUUUUAAGAGUACAUUUUACAGAACACAAAGUUUUAUAGGACACACACAGACGGUUACAGCAGAAACAUCUGCCCAAGGGAAGUCAAGGAUUAUAGAGAACCAGAUCACGGAUAGCCUCAGAAGCCAUUAUGAAACAGGGAGGCACUGGAGGGCAAGAGAUGAUCUGAUGUGCUGCAAAUAAACUGCUGGGGGGGAUGGGGAGAGAGAAGAUGAACAAGCGGGAGGCAGACAGACCAGUGAGGGGCCUUUGCAUCAGUCAGGUGAGAGAGGAUGGUGGCUCGGACCAGGAAGGGAGCAGUGACGGUGGCGUGAGAUAGUUAGGAUUUGCUGAUGAUUUGGCUUUGGGCAAGAAAGACAGGAGCAAAGAAGACUGCAGUAUUUUUCAGCCUAAGCAGCUGAAGGAUGAGGUGUCACCACCUGAGGUGGUAAUGAUGGGAGGAUGAUCCAAUUAAAGGUGGUCCAUUCAGUUCUGGUAAGGAACUAUAAAGUUCUGAGUGCCUGUAAAGCACUCAAGUGGAGCCUUCACUUAGGCAGUUGUAUAGACAGGUCCAUAGCAUAGGAGAGAUUAGUUUGGAAAUUUUCAGCAUACAGAUAUUAUUUAAAACCACAAGAGUAAAUAUAUUCAAAUUUUCAUCAAAUAUUGAUUUUUCCAGUGGCUCACUGGGCAGCUAGAGCACAGGCCAAGGUCGACAAAGCCUAUGGACUUUUUAAUUUUCAGCAUAAGAGCUUGGGUUCCUGGAGUGGAGAUGAGGAGAGCUUAUGGUGGAAAAGUUUGCAAAGGGCUGAAGCCUGGUUCUGGGUCAUUCUAACAGCAAGAAGUUGGGCUGACAAGCAAAAACAGCAACGAGCUUUUUACAAGGAAAACCUCUAAGGUAUGUGGAAAACUGGAGAAGUGUAGAGAACUGGACAUCAUGUAAGGAAGGGUAGCUGAUCAAACAGGCCAAAGAAGAGGAAGACUGACAUGCACUACUGAAUUCAGCAACCAGGAGAGGCUGAGCAGUUGUCCCAGUGGCCAGUUUCUAGCCAUUGUCUGACCAUAAUCAAUGGGGCAGAGACAGCUCUGCCAGGGAACUUUGUUGAAAAGGAUAGAAAAAUGGGGAGGGGGUGACUAAAGAAAGACACAGGAUCAAUGAUAUGUUUUAUAACACUGGGACAUUAUGGCAGGUUUUUAUGGUGUUUGAAUGAUCCAAUGGAGAGAAAAAAAAUCAAUACAAGAGAAAAGAGGGAGAAUUGCUGAGAAAAGGUCCCUUAGAAGGCAAGAGAAAAAGCAGGUGUCAUGUGAAGAGGCUCUUCUUUGAAGCUCUUUGGUAACAGGAGGAAGGCAUAGCCUAGGGCACCAAUUCUGGGAGGUGAGAAGAUGUGGUGGGAGCUUGUGGAUUCCCUUCUGAUGGCCUCUGGGGUUUGUCUGCAGUAUAGUAGGAAGAAAGGUUAUCAGGUUAUCAGAGCAGAGAUAGGAUAUGGGAAGUGUUUGGGGUUUGAGGAGAGAAUAUGAAAGUCAUUGUCUACAAGAGGAGGAGAGUGAAUGGACCAGGAAAACAGAGGUAUUCCUAGGGAAAGAAAGGGUUCAAGUAAGGUAACAUGCAACCAGUCCUCAGUGUAUGUUUUCUCCAGCCGCAUUUGGCUCUCGAGGCCAGGCAUGGUUUUGGAGAGCUGGAUUUUUUCUGGGCUGGGAUUUUGCCAGGCAAAAGUAUGAUGAAACUGAAGCACAAGAUUAGAAUAAACUACUAUGGUCAGAAUCUCUGUAUCUCCCACUCCCCACAACAAAUUCACAUGCUAAAAUCUUUGUCUUUUGUCUUUCUGAGGGCCACACCCGUGGCAUAUGGAGGUUCCCAGACUAGGGGUCUAAAUCAGAGCUACUGCUGCCGGCCUAUACCACAGCAAUGCAGGAUCCAAGCCGUGUCUGCAACCUACACCACAGCUCAAGGCAAUGCCGGAUCCUUAACACACUGAGUGAGGCCAGGGAUGGAACCCCCAACCUCAUGGUUCCUAGUCAGAUUUGUUUCUGCUGCGCCAUGAUGGGAACUGCCCACAUGCUGAAGUCUUAAUGCCCAGAGGUGAUGGUAUUAGUAGCAGGACUCUGGGGAGGUGAUGAGGUCAGGAGGGUGAAGCCCUCAUGAAUGAGAUUAGGGCUCUUAUAAAGGACACCGGCAGAGCUCCCUAGCCCCUUCCACCCUGAGAGGAUACAACAAGACGUCUGUGACCGGGAAGAGCACCCUCUCCCCACCAUGCUGACACCCUGGUCUCAGACUUGCAGCCUGAGAACUGUGAGCAGUACAUUUCUGUUGUUUGUAAGCCACUUGGUCUGUGGCAUUUUGUUAUAGUGACCCAGAAAGCACAAAGGUGUGAGCCGUGGAAGAAGGCCUGGGAUGCGGAUGUUUAUUUCUUGACAGCUGCUAGUGGAACGUGGACCAAGGCAGGCUUUAAGCUAUUGUCAUAUAGCAGAUGACAAUCCAUAGAUAUACAUUUCACAGAGUGGUAUCUUUUUGCCCCUCUCCCCCCCCCCUCUUUGUCUUUUUAGGGCCGUGCCCACAGCAUGUGGAGAUUUCUAGACUAGGGGUUGAAUUGGAGCUGUAGCUGCCAGCCUAAGCCACAGCCACUGCCACCCCAGAUCUGAGCCCACAUCUGUGACCUACACCACAGCUCACAGCAACGCUGAUCCUUGGCCCACUGAGUGGAGGGGGAGUGGCGGGCCUGGGGGGCGGGGUACGAACCUGCAUCCUCAUGGAUACUAGUUGGGUUUACCACCUCUGAGCCAUGAUGGGAACUCUCUUUUGCCCCUUCUUGCUAAAACAGUUUUCCCUUUCAAGCUGGUGAAGCAGUAACUCUAAACACAAACUUCUGGUUGGGAUAUAUAUAUAAGAUGGGUAAUGUCACUGUUUAUACUGAGAAUAAUCAUCUCU